UUUUCAGUGUUUUAAACUAUCCUCAAAACAUAGUUUAUUGAAGAAAUUGUUUUAAAAGUGUUUAAAUAUUGUGAAUGCCCUCGUUUUUAUUUAUAACCGGAAAAAGGUUAUUAUGUCGUACUUGGUCCCAGCGAAAAGUCAUUUAGACAGUAUUAUGUAUAUCUCCAUGAAAGAGUACGUUGUACGUUUAAACUGUGUUCAUCUGAUAUUUUUGAAUGUAUGUUUUGAUGAUAAAAACAAAUAAUUCAACGCGAUGAAUAAUAAUACAAUUUGAACCCCACUCUUGAUUUUUACACGUGUGUAAGCUGAAGUUGAACGCAAGAUGGCUAUUACCUGUUUAGGAUGUUUUGGAUAUAUUUUUAUCGGCCUGGUCUGAUGAGCUAAACCUAACAUGCCGGGUACCUGCUGCAAACAGUUUGGGAAAUGGUUUUUAAUUGUCCUCAACAUCAUAUUUUUUUUACUUGGUAUCGGGUUAUUGGUAGCAGGAAUCAUAUUUAAAAUUAAUGCAGUAUUUGUGGAGGUUUUCCCACCUUGAACAAAGUCCAAGUGGUUGGAAACAACCUUGGCGAUCUUUUGAACAGCGUUUCAUCUUGGUGAUCAUUAUCG
Long non-coding RNA from Saccostrea cuccullata (small rock oyster), 606 nucleotides. RefSeq lists it as uncharacterized. NCBI's taxonomy places the organism in Eukaryota, Metazoa, Mollusca, Bivalvia, Ostreida, Ostreidae. The transcript is spliced from 3 exons. The record is from RefSeq and is a predicted model, not a curated record.